This is a non-coding RNA of Brassica napus (rape), 125 nucleotides long. NCBI's taxonomy places the organism in Eukaryota, Viridiplantae, Streptophyta, Magnoliopsida, Brassicales, Brassicaceae. The record is from Rfam.
GGAAUAUAAGAAACCGUAUUUUAACUUUAACUAAAAAAAACUAAGAACGACUCUUAGUUAAGAUAUUUAAGAGCCACUUCUUAGCUUUUUUUAAUUAAAAGUUAAGAGACGGUUUCUUAUAUUCC